This 301-nucleotide ribosomal RNA is filed under the name uncultured bacterium. Its description in RNAcentral is "partial 16S ribosomal RNA". It matches the Rfam family "Bacterial small subunit ribosomal RNA", at positions 509 to 807 of the family's 1533-position model. The record is from RNAcentral.
CAGUAGCCACGGUAAUACGUAGGGUGCAAGCGUUAAUCGGAAUUACUGGGCGUAAAGCGUGCGCAGGCGGUUUGUUAAGACAGAUGUGAAAUCCCCGGGCUCAACCUGGGAACUGCAUUUGUGACUGGCAAGCUAGAGUGUGGCAGAGGGGGGUGGAAUUCCGCGUGUAGCAGUGAAAUGCGUAGAUAUGCGGAGGAACACCGAUGGCGAAGGCAGCCCCCUGGGCCAACACUGACGCUCAUGCACGAAAGCGUGGGGAGCAAACAGGAUUAGAUACCCGCGUAGUCCCUGUCUCUUAUAC